Molecule: long non-coding RNA, 490 nt
Organism: Musa acuminata AAA Group (dessert banana)
Lineage: Eukaryota; Viridiplantae; Streptophyta; Magnoliopsida; Zingiberales; Musaceae
Exons: 2
Source: RefSeq, a predicted model, not a curated record
UCCUCUUUCUUCUUCUUCUUCUUCUUCUUCUUCUUCUUUCUCACAACUCCAUGAAGAUAACCUUUGUGCUCAUUGCUUUCCUCGUCUUCGUGUCUUUAGCCCAUGCGGGCCGGACAGCGCCAGUGGAAUAUCCAGAGAAGACCAGCCUUCAGGGCGUGCAGAAGGAGACGCCGGAGAGGGUGGAAGGAUGUGAGGGCGUCGGGGCGGAUGAAUGCUUGAUGAGGAGAUCCCUGGCAGCUCACACUGACUACAUCUACACCCAGGAGCACCAUUAAGAGGGAGGUGGUGACACGGUUGUGCUCUUUUGGCUGGUGGAUCUUUCUGCCACAAGUAUUCCAUCCAUUGUGUCAUGAUCACUGCUAUGUCUCAUGUGUGUUGCUGGCUUUAGGAGUAACAUGCAGGCCGUGUGAUGCUGUCCUGCAUCUAUGUUCUAUGUUUCCAGGACUCGUAAACACCAAUAAAUAUAGGGUAAAUGUUGGUUUUAUGUUCA